This is a long non-coding RNA of Amphiprion ocellaris (clown anemonefish), 795 nucleotides long. RefSeq lists it as uncharacterized. The record is from RefSeq and is a predicted model, not a curated record. The transcript has 3 exons. Lineage: Eukaryota; Metazoa; Chordata; Actinopteri; Pomacentridae.
GGUCAUGUGACGCAGACGGUUCACCUCACAAUACCGGGGUCAACCACGGCUACCAGCAUGAACGACGGCGCUUCACAACACCGUCUGAACUGACCAUUCUGGUGAAAUUCUGGACUGGAUGGGAGACUCUACCAAGAACUCUCUUCGCUGAAGUAGUGAAUGGCAGAUACCUGACAGCCUCCACCUGCUGACCUUUGUAGCGAGGACCCGAUGCCAGGUCCAGUGGACAGACUUCAGACGUCUCUGUGUGUCCCGUCCUGUCUGUGGUUGCCUGGUUACAGACGCUGCUGCACCCGCAUGUUUAAAGAUGUCUACACCUGAAACUCCACCACGUCUAAAGAAGCAAAAACGUUUGCAAAUGUACAGACUGGAGUGGGAAGAGUGGAACUCCUGGCAAUGGAUACAAGGCAAACUGUGUUUUCUGUUGCUCAUGGACUGGCUGAAGUAAGGCAGCAUCAGGAGACAAACAUGGAGGAAAUAUGAGAACAGAGAGAACCCAACCAGCAGGUCACAGUUUAUCAUCAUCUAAUCAUCUCCUGAAGUCCAUAUGGUAAGUGGACAUCAUGAUGAGAUCAGCUAGAUUUCCUACAGUAUAUGGCUGUGAAUUUACCAGAGGAUGCUUAUAAUAAUGCUGAUGUGGCCGUAGACUCUACACUAUUUUAGUGACUCAGUAAAUGCCUAAGUUGGUUAUUAUUUUUUUUAAUGCUUUUUAGUUUUUAAUAAACAUUUAUUUAAUAGCCUAUAUGUAAUCAAACAUGGCCUUUGCCUAAAAAGAAUAAUAUUUCAUUGCACAAG